UAGGGAAUCUUCGGCAAUGGGGGCAACCCUGACCGAGCAACGCCGCGUGAGUGAAGAAGGUUUUCGGAUCGUAAAGCUCUGUUGUAAGAGAAGAACGUGUGUGAGAGUGGAAAGUUCACACAGUGACGGUAACUUACCAGAAAGGGAUGGCUAACUACGUGCCAGCAGCCGCGGUAAUUAGUAGGUCCAGAGCGUUGUCCGGAUGUAUUGGGCGUAAAGCGAGAGCAGGCGGUUUAAUAAGUCUGAAGUUAAAGGUAGUGGCUUAACCAUUGUUCGCUUUUUAAACUGUUAAUCUUGAGUGCAGGAGGGGAGAGUGGAAUUCCAUGUGUAGCGGUGAAAUGCUGAGGUAUAUGGAAGAACACCGGUGGCGAAAGCGGCUCUCUGGUCUGUAACUGACGCUGAGGCUCGAAAGCGUGGGGAGCAAACAGG
This 429-nucleotide ribosomal RNA is filed under the name bacterium. Its description in RNAcentral is "partial 16S ribosomal RNA". It matches the Rfam family "Bacterial small subunit ribosomal RNA", at positions 355 to 776 of the family's 1533-position model. The record is from RNAcentral.